This is a long non-coding RNA of Quercus lobata, 594 nucleotides long. RefSeq lists it as uncharacterized. NCBI's taxonomy places the organism in Eukaryota, Viridiplantae, Streptophyta, Magnoliopsida, Fagales, Fagaceae. The transcript has 4 exons. The record is from RefSeq and is a predicted model, not a curated record.
GAGGAAUUCAUUAACACAUCCAGCAUUGGUGAAUUUAGGAAAUGUCUUCAACUUCUUUUUGCUUUCCUUGGUCAAUUUGAGACUGCCCUUCUGAUAUGGAAAAUCUGAAGAUCUUGUACAAUGUAUUUGAAUUUUAUGUGCAAUUCUUGCUAACCAUCUUGGAGCACAUAAAAGCUAUUAGAAGAAAUAUUGAGGUAGAGCUAAAAGAACUUCUGAAACUAUAUGGAUGGGAGCGUUCAGAAAGCUUGCUGUCAAUUAAAAACUCAAAAAAGUACCCGGAAUAAGCUCAGGGAUCUUAUAGAGAAGUACAAUGACCAUCUGCAAAAACCUGUAUUGCCUUUUCUUAACCAAUACGCACUACAAAGGGGAACAAAUGCUCAAUUACUAAAUGGUCAAAAGCUGCUUAAUGAAUUUUUAGAAAAAAAAUAUAGGGAUGUGCAAUGCUCCUUUUGAUCUGACAGCAUUUUGUGAUGAAGACAGGUUUUUGCUUUUAUACAUUCCUGGCAUUUUGUGUGCUUAAGUUUUUUUCCAAAUACCUGAUUCUGGAACUUCACCAUCAUUUUUCCUGGUUUAGGUUAUUUUAUGCUGAUUGGA